AGAUUAAGUUAUUAAGGGCGCACGGUGGAUGCCUUGGCACUAGAAGCCGAUGAAGGACGUUACUAACGACGAUAUGCUUUGGGGAGCUGUAAGUAAGCUUUGAUCCAGAGAUUUCCGAAUGGGGAAACCCAGCAUGAGUUAUGUCAUGUUAUCGAUAUGUGAAUACAUAGCAUAUCAGAAGGCACACCCGGAGAACUGAAACAUCUUAGUACCCGGAGGAAGAGAAAGAAAAUUCGAUUCCCUUAGUAGCGGCGAGCGAAACGGGAAGAGCCCAAACCAACAAGCUUGCUUGUUGGGGUUGUAGGACACUCUAUACGGAGUUACAAAGGACGACAUUAGACGAAUCAUCUGGAAAGAUGAAUCAAAGAAGGUAAUAAUCCUGUAGUCGAAAAUGUUGUCUCUCUUGAGUGGAUCCUGAGUACGACGGAGCACGUGAAAUUCCGUCGGAAUCU
This 452-nucleotide ribosomal RNA is filed under the name Staphylococcus aureus. RNAcentral describes it as "partial 23S ribosomal RNA". It matches the Rfam family "Bacterial large subunit ribosomal RNA", at positions 1 to 445 of the family's 2925-position model. Lineage: Bacteria; Bacillati; Bacillota; Bacilli; Caryophanales; Staphylococcaceae. The record is from RNAcentral.